CUAUCAUUAUUUCCAAAGAAUAGAAGUACAAAAAAGAAUGAUGUCUGAUGGCUUACGAUACUUUGAAGCAAAUCUCCUAAACAUACUAUGACAGUGAGUCUAUUUCAUGUCUACGCAGCAGUUAAUGUUUUAGAGACUUCUCAAGUAAAUGGUUUCAAAAUUAAAUGUGAGUGAAAUUCGGCCUAAAGCAAGGAGUUUCCCAUCCCAUUCUGAAAAUGUUAAUAAGAAG
Long non-coding RNA from Octopus bimaculoides (California two-spot octopus), 229 nucleotides. Lineage: Eukaryota; Metazoa; Mollusca; Cephalopoda; Octopoda; Octopodidae. The record is from RefSeq and is a predicted model, not a curated record.